GACGAACGCUGGCGGCGUGCCUAAUACAUGCAAGUAGAACGCACAGUUUAUACCGUAGCUUGCUACACCAUAAACUGUGAGUUGCGAACGGGUGAGUAACGCGUAGGUAACCUGCCUGGUAGCGGGGGAUAACUAUUGGAAACGAUAGCUAAUACCGCAUAAUAUUGAUUAUUGCAUGAUAAUUGAUUGAAAGAUGCUAUUGCAUCACUACCAGAUGGACCUGCGUUGUAUUAGCUAGUAGGUGAGGUAACGGCUCACCUAGGCGACGAUACAUAGCCGGCCUGAGAGGGUGAUCGGCCACACUGGGACUGAGACACGGCCCAGACUCCUACGGGAGGCAGCAGUAGGGAAUCUUCGGCAAUGGACGAAAGUCUGACCGAGCAACGCCGCGUGAGUGCAGAAGGUUUUCGGAUCGUAAAGCUCUGUUGUAAGAGAAGAACGGGGGUGAGAGUGGAAAGUUCACACUGUGACGGUAUCUUACCAGAAAGGGACGGCUAACUACGUG
Molecule: ribosomal RNA, 505 nt
Filed under: uncultured bacterium
Lineage: Bacteria
Description: partial 16S ribosomal RNA
Rfam family: Bacterial small subunit ribosomal RNA
Source: RNAcentral